AUUGGAUCAUGCAGGAAACCACAGAAAUCACAUUAUUUUGCAUUUUGGCUUUGGAAACAAGCCACGCUUUGAGUACACUCAGGAAGAAUUAGCAAAACUGAUCCUGCCAUAAACAAUACAACCCAAAGAGUUCUUUCCUGAGACUGAAAUUUUUGGCUCGGAAGAGAGAAGGAUGGUGAAGAAUACAGCUUAGGAGGUGAUCUAGCUGAGAAAGGUGAGAAAAACACUGAAAAGAAGGCAAGUGCUUUUGCUAACUGGACCUAAGAAUAAAAUGUUAGAUAAUGCAGGCUUAUGAAAGGCUGUGUCUUCCAAACAAAUAUUUUGGUUUCAGAAUGAUGUAAAGUUUGAAUAAUAACAGUAAGUUUCCACGAUUAUUAAAACUACUCUCUUUCCACAGUUGCAGUUGGAUUAGAGUCAAAAGUUCCAGAGCAGCAGUCCCAAGGAAGAAGAGUAUGCAGAAAUGAGGCAUUUGGCUGCUUAAGAAAUCAAAAGACAGACACAAAAACAGCUUUUAUAAGGCUAUUACAUUCAUCACCUCACUGAAUCUUGUGUUAGAAGAGUUGUGAUCUCUACUUUGCACCAGAGGCUCAGAGUCAUCACACGAUCUGUGCUGGUGACACCAGGACUAGAACCCAGACUCCUUCAGACCCACUCCACUCUACUAUCUCUCCUCUUCUUGUGUCAGAUCCAAUAAGACAGCUGCCAUUUUCCAUUAGAAGACAUUUAUGUUGCAUCUAAAAGAAGGAAUUUACAAACCAGAGAAG
RNAcentral lists this long non-coding RNA (764 nucleotides) under Callithrix jacchus (white-tufted-ear marmoset). RNAcentral describes it as "lncRNA (ENSCJAG00000076418.1)". Lineage: Eukaryota; Metazoa; Chordata; Mammalia; Primates; Cebidae. The record is from RNAcentral.